CGCAUGCGCCCCUCCUGCUCGUCCUCCGGGUCACCUCCGUCGCAGCACAGCGGCGCGAGCACCAGCGCUACCUCGUCGACGCACUCGUCGAAUCGGAAGCGUGCGCGGCCGGGCGAUGGCAUGUCAGAGCCGACAACACGGUCACGCGCCGCAUCCGACGAUGCAACGCAAGUGCGGCAUACGGAAAGAGGUGGGUUAGGGCACAGCUCCAAGGAUGCCCAAUGCCCACUCAUCACACCUGCGCCUCCCUCUGCUGCAUUAGCCCGCCGCUGCGAGGAGCCGCAGAGGCGACGGCCGCACACGGCAGAUACGGCAGACAUGGCAGACAGCAGUAUCGCCAUCCCCACCGUCAGCGAGGAGAACUCAGUCGGUGGUCAUCCUCCCCGCUUCUCGUCGCCCCCCUCUGCCCAACCGACUCCAGCCUCGGCGUUGCUCCCGCCAUCCCUGCCGUGUCAGUCCCGUGUGGCCUCCGGUGAUCCCCCGACCCACAACGCAGCUGCUGCGCAUCAUGCUGCAGAUGCGCCCGCAUUAUCCCUGUCCGGGAAGACCGCACACGUCAGCUCCAACAGCCGCCGCGACUUCGUCGUUAUGCUCAACCACAAGCGCAUGAUCGUCCCUGCCGAGCAUCCAUUUCUUAUUCCUCGUGCUCUGUUUGCCCCGCGCGCCGCGAAGGCAGCCGCGGAAGACGGCCGGAGCGCUACCGGUGCCUGCGACGUCGGCGACUGUGUUGUCGCCGCUGAAGGUGCUGCGUCUCGCCCGUUGCACUGCUACGGUGACCGGCCAGUGCUGCUGCUUGACUGCACCGGCGCGCUGCUACAGCGCCGCCAGCGCCGUCAGCGUCGGCAAGAGCUGCAGUCACGUGCCUCGCAGUUAGUCGCGGCACGCGCAGACCUCCUUAGGACAAAAAACCUGUGGUCCAUGCGACGCAUUCGGGCGCGGCGGCAGAACAAAGAGCUGAGCGCCCCAGUAUCCGCGGUGGGCGACGCUGGAGGUGAUGCGGGCAGGGGCAGUGGAGACUCCACUGCCCGUGCUCCUUCCGGUGCAGCGGAGGGUGGUGACUCCACGAGCCACCUCCUGUCGGAGCUGUCGCGCCAACGCAAGGCUAUCACGCACGAAAUGAAAGAGAUCCGUCGCGAGUUGCUGACGCUCUUACAGGAAAAACGCAAGCAGGCAGCCACGCGUGACGGCUGCGUGCUGAUGCUGCCUUCACCGGAGACGGGAGAAGUGCAGCUGUUCCCGGGACAUCACUACCGCACCGUAUGUUUUGUAGGCGACGAGCUGCGUGAGGUACUCCCGAGCGACGCGGACGUGGCGACGGCGCACCAUUGGCAGCAUCGCACCCCGCCGCUGCGGAAGCUGGCAUCCGAGGGGGUUGCACGUGAGCUCUCUGGGAAUGAUGAGGGUGGCGCUGAAGGCGAGCACACGUCGGCCAAAAUGGCCGAGCGACCUCUUUGGGCCAUGGCAGAGCUGUUGGGCUACGUUCUUUACCUGCGUCAGUGCCGCAGAAACCCGCACUAUCGCUCCCGCCGCGGCGCUACAUUCGACGACGACAGCAUCGAGUGUCAGGAAGGGCGCGAGGGGCGCGUUGACUUCGACAAGAUCGCGGCGUCCAUCAGCUACGACAUGGUAGACCAAUACCUCGCCCUUCCCGCGUGUGAGAUGGCGAUGUAUCGGGAGUGGGCCAUCGAUAAAUUCAAGCUGCUGCCACCACAGUAGUGCUCCCCAGGCCUGCCUCGUUGAUUGCUACGCGCGUACGUGCGCGUGCGUGUCUCCGCGCAACUUCUCCUACGCGGUUGGGCCACAGGGAGAGAGAGUCUUCUGCCGCCCACGAGCGCUUGAAACACACAGACACUCCCACAACCUGGUGCGCUGGCUGUGUUGUUGUGGAACCGGAUGAGCAGGGAGAGGGGAGCAGGGGGCGGUGCCGCGUACUUGACGUCUCCUGUGCUACUGG
RNAcentral lists this unclassified non-coding RNA (1954 nucleotides) under Leishmania donovani. RNAcentral's name for it is "gene:LdHU3.10.1030(CDS-product:hypothetical_prote in_conserved)". The record is from RNAcentral. Lineage: Eukaryota; Euglenozoa; Kinetoplastea; Trypanosomatida; Trypanosomatidae.